GAGGAAAACGUCAGAAUAGCAGUUAUGUCUUUUCGUCUUCUUCAAGCAGCCGUUUUCCUCGUGGCUUUAAGCUACGCUAUGGGACAAUUCAGACGUGACUGCCCAGAUGGAUGCCCGGCUGACUGUGCUAUCAUUAAAGUGCCUGACUUUCUAAGGCUAUGCAUGAGGUGCCAAUGUGACCCAAAUAAUACACAAACACCAUGGGACCCCCCUAAUGACGGCCCAACACAGUGUAGAAGAGGUUGUUAUCGAGUACUAGGUCGGUGUAGAUGCUUGGGAUUUCCAGUUUGAGAUCCAACAGAGGGAAAGGUUGUGUUAUGAUUGAUUUCCUAUUAAGGAAAGAAUGAAGGAAUUGAUGUAUUGAUUAAAGAAAAAGCUUAAAUAUACUUCGUGUCAUUUG
This is a long non-coding RNA of Penaeus chinensis, 400 nucleotides long. RefSeq lists it as uncharacterized. The transcript is spliced from 2 exons. The record is from RefSeq and is a predicted model, not a curated record. Lineage: Eukaryota; Metazoa; Arthropoda; Malacostraca; Decapoda; Penaeidae.